UCUCAGCUCAGAAGCUUUUGGCCCUAGGAGCAUUCUCAUCUUUUUUAAAGAAAAACUUCUAUCCAAUUGAGUCGAAAGCAUCAUCUCGCAACUUUUAGUUGUAAAACGUUUUUCCGAUUUUUACUAGCAAAUUACAUAAAAUUGAAGUGUCCUAUAAUAAAAGUUACUUAAUAAUUAUUAAAUAAACCAACCUAAUACAUGAUAUAAUACAUCGUACUACUAUGAAUCCGAGAAUAUACCGGAUGGCCUCGCAAUUAAGAUUUUAUCGAGAUACUUAGUAUUGAUGCAAAUAAAUUCUCCUCAAAACAAUGGGCGCCUGUAUCAGAGUCAUUCUGGCACAAUGUACCAUGUCUGCACACGGGCACGUGUGUGCGUGCGUCCUCACAGGCUGCAACGUACGUGUACUUGGCGUGUUCUACGACGGCACGUACGACGUACGCAAGGGGAUGACGAGCAUACAUGCACGCAUAAACUUGACUCCAAAUUAACUACUGCACCUUGUUUUUUUCCCAAAUGGAUAGAGAAUAAUACUAGGAAAUCGCAAUACGCAGCAACUUGGAUUGGAUAUUCUCUUCAGUUUGAAAGCACGAGCUCGAGCUUAGCGUGCCCGACACUAUAAAACCCCCUGGUGUGAGGGCUCUUUUUCCAGCAAGAACACCAAGUCACAAGCCACUCCACAGUAGCUAGUGUUGUGAGGUUGAACCACCCCAGCAAAUCAUCUGACAGGCGACCGAAGAAACAAGAAAAUGGCAUCGAUCGAAAGUGAGAGGAAUGAGGAAGUCGUUGGGCAGCUCAGUUCGGAGCAGAAAGCACGCUUAGAUGAGGUCAUGAAGCAAGCUGCGCUGUCGUUGCAGUCUGACGAACUUCUUAACAAGGCAGCGGCAGGCAAAUUACAGGCCGGCAAUUACUAUUUUUACGUACAAGGUGAUUUGUACAAUUAUACAAAGGGACCCCUGACUACUACUACGGAUGUACAGCAACAAUAUUCAGGAUCCGUUCUCAUUGACUAUACCAACCCUCUUAAGCCCAGCAGCAACAAUAAGGCCGGCACCGGCAGUUUUACCAUGGCAGGCGACGGCAGUGUUGAGGCAGCUGUGGUAUAUUUUGGCAAGAACGACAAAGGUGAUCAGGACUGUGCAUGGCUCAUUGGUUUUAACAUAAACACAACGACUAAACCCGAAAAGUUGCAGGUUUAUGUGUUCUGCGGCCCUUUAAUUAAUUCUGUGAUUAAUUUCAUCAACCCCAACUGGGCAGAAAUUAAAACAAAGAUAGAACGCGGUGGGCAAGUCGGUUUUUACAAGGACGACCAGACUGUUACAAAUGUCUAUGCCGGCGUUGCUGCUACCGACCCCAGUAUGCCAGGCAGGUAUUCUGUUUCUAUAGCCUUCGAUCUGUGAAAUACGCACUUUCAUCGAUAAUAAUGUACUAGCUAGAUCCAGCGGAUCAUUAGCUAAUGUGUGUGCUCUAUAUAUGUGUGCUACUAUGUAUGACCAAGGGCAUUCGCUUGUUCCCCUGUAAUUAAGAACAUGCAAGGUACUGUCUUGUGUGUUUCUGUGUGUAAUGUUUACAUGUACUACACCCCUAUGAUAAAUAAAACUGCCCUUCUAUACGUAAA
Oryza sativa Japonica Group (Japanese rice) is the source of this 1615-nucleotide non-coding RNA. The record is from RefSeq and is a predicted model, not a curated record. Lineage: Eukaryota; Viridiplantae; Streptophyta; Magnoliopsida; Poales; Poaceae.